This 70-nucleotide microRNA precursor is filed under the name Panagrellus redivivus. RNAcentral's name for it is "microRNA prd-mir-7897 precursor". Lineage: Eukaryota; Metazoa; Nematoda; Chromadorea; Rhabditida; Panagrolaimidae. The record is from miRBase by way of RNAcentral.
UACCAGUUUAAACUUCGACUCAUCUCAAAUCAGUCUAUAAAUGAGAAGAUCGUUGUUUAAACGCGGGAUU